Molecule: ribosomal RNA, 601 nt
Filed under: Adelie penguin guano bacterium 241x
Lineage: Bacteria
Description: bacterial SSU rRNA
Rfam family: Bacterial small subunit ribosomal RNA
Source: RNAcentral
GAGCGGCGUACGGGUGCGUAACACGUGUGCAACCUACCUUUAUCAGGGGAAUAGCCUUUCGAAAGGAAGAUUAAUACUCCAUAAUAUCUUAUCAGGCAUCUGAUUAGAUUGAAAACUCCGGUGGAUAGAGAUGGGCACGCGCAAGAUUAGAUAGUUGGUGAGGUAACGGCUCACCAAGUCAUUGAUCUUUAGGGGUCCUGAGAGGGAGAUCCCCCACACUGGUACUGAGACACGGACCAGACUCCUACGGGAGGCAGCAGUGAGGAAUAUUGGACAAUGGGUGAGAGCCUGAUCCAGCCAUCCCGCGUGAAGGAUGACGGUCCUACGGAUUGUAAACUUCUUUUGUAUAGGGAUAAACCUAGUCUCGUGAGACUAGCUGAAGGUACUAUACGAAUAAGCACCGGCUAACUCCGUGCCAGCAGCCGCGGUAAUACGGAGGGUGCAAGCGUUAUCCGGAUUUAUUGGGUUUAAAGGGUCCGCAGGCGGGCCGAUUAGUCAGUGGUUGAAAUCUCAUAGCUUAACUAUUGAACUGCCAUUUGAUACUGUCGGUCUUGAGUAAAUUAAGAGGUAGCUUGGAAUUAAGUAGUUGUAACCGGUGAAA